Molecule: ribosomal RNA, 454 nt
Filed under: uncultured bacterium
Lineage: Bacteria
Description: bacterial SSU rRNA
Rfam family: Bacterial small subunit ribosomal RNA
Source: RNAcentral
ACACAUGCAAGUCGAACGGUAACAGGCCUUCGGGCGCUGACGAGUGGCGGACGGGUGAGUAAUGCGUGGGAAUCUGCCUUAUGGCUGGGGACAACCAGUGGAAACGCUGGCUAAUACCGAAUACCGUCUACGGACGAAAGCGGGGGAUCUUCGGACCUCGCACCAUAAGAUGAGCCCACGUCUGAUUAGCUAGUUGGUGAGGUAAUUGCUCACCAAGGCGACGAUCAGUAGCCGGCCUGAGAGGGUGGACGGCCACACUGGGACUGAGACACGGCCCAGACUCCUACGGGAGGCAGCAGUGGGGAAUAUUGGACAAUGGGCGCAAGCCUGAUCCAGCAAUGCCGCGUGUGUGAAGAAGGCCUUCGGGUUGUAAAGCACUUUUGUUAGGGAGGAAAGUCUGGUAGCUAAUAACUGCUAGAUCUGACGUUACCUAAAGAAUCAGCACCGGCUAACU